UCGAGCGGAUGAAGGGAGCUUGCUCCUGGAUUCAGCGGCGGACGGGUGAGUAAUGCCUAGGAAUCUGCCUGGUAGUGGGGGAUAACGUCCGGAAACGGGCGCUAAUACCGCAUACGUCCUGAGGGAGAAAGUGGGGGAUCUUCGGACCUCACGCUAUCAGAUGAGCCUAGGUCGGAUUAGCUAGUUGGUGGGGUAAAGGCCUACCAAGGCGACGAUCCGUAACUGGUCUGAGAGGAUGAUCAGUCACACUGGAACUGAGACACGGUCCAGACUCCUACGGGAGGCAGCAGUGGGGAAUAUUGGACAAUGGGCGAAAGCCUGAUCCAGCCAUGCCGCGUGUGUGAAGAAGGUCUUCGGAUUGUAAAGCACUUUAAGUUGGGAGGAAGGGCAGUAAGUUAAUACCUUGCUGUUUUGACGUUACCAACAGAAUAAGCACCGGCUAACUUCGUGCCAGCAGCCGCGGUAAUACGAAGGGUGCAAGCGUUAAUCGGAAUUACUGGGCGUAAAGCGCGCGUAGGUGGUUCAGCAAGUUGGAUGUGAAAUCCCCGGGCUCAACCUGGGAACUGCAUCCAAAACUACUGAGCUAGAGUACGGUAGAGGGUGGUGGAAUUUCCUGUGUAGCGGUGAAAUGCGUAGAUAUAGGAAGGAACACCAGUGGCGAAGGCGACCACCUGGACUGAUACUGACACUGAGGUGCGA
This 699-nucleotide ribosomal RNA is filed under the name Pseudomonas aeruginosa. Its description in RNAcentral is "bacterial SSU rRNA". It matches the Rfam family "Bacterial small subunit ribosomal RNA", at positions 62 to 756 of the family's 1533-position model. The record is from RNAcentral. Lineage: Bacteria; Pseudomonadati; Pseudomonadota; Gammaproteobacteria; Pseudomonadales; Pseudomonadaceae.